Molecule: long non-coding RNA, 3376 nt
Organism: Dreissena polymorpha
Lineage: Eukaryota; Metazoa; Mollusca; Bivalvia; Myida; Dreissenidae
Exons: 3
Source: RefSeq, a predicted model, not a curated record
AUAUUUAGAACGUUGUUGUAUUAUAUAUCUACCAGAUGAAUUACUCUACCGCGUCGUUUCGAACGUAUUUUCCACUGUUCUUAUUCAGAUUUUAGCCAACAGCAAAGAGCAGCUGCUCUUUUAAGGCAGGCAGCAGAUUUGUUGAAUGUCAGCACAUGUGACAGGAGUACACAAUACCAGCACCUGCACCAGUAACCUCUGUCAGUAGCACUAGUGCUGCAAAGGCAAUUUUUGCACCCGACAGUAAAAGAAGGAGGCAUUGACAUGCAAAUACAGGAACUGUGGCAGUGUCAGCAUGGACUAUUACACCCAGGUGUAAUCAGGAAGGCAUCACUAAAGAGGCCUGUGCUAGAUAUUUUGGAACUACAGUCUAUACCACAGUUCCUGGUUACAACUAAUGACACCUGUUGAAGGAGCUAGACGUUACCAGGGAGAGACACCAGCACAAAGGUGAAUCAGAUUAACUGGAGCUACAAGCAGCUUAAGAAAAACCUUCAGGGACCAGUCUAAAUGUUCUGAUAAUGACAAUAGUGUGUUAUGUGUUUUAUUGCUAAGAAUUUUGGGUACUCUGUAUCCAAUAUCUAAAGUGGUAUUUUAUUAAGAUUUAGAAAAUAAUAAGGCCAAUCUUAAUAAGAAAUAUUCUGCUGGAACAUAUUGAUCUGUUUAUUUAAUCAUGCAGAAAUUUGUUGUUUGCCAUUUGAUCAUUUGGCAUGCUUAAGCUCAACAUAAUAUAAGAGAAAUUGAUUUAUUUCACAUUACUUUACUUAUCUUGCAAUGAUUUUUCAAGCAUCUUUUUCACACAUCUUGUAGAUUGGUAAGCAGAUAUGUUCUUGCUAGAUUUCAAUGGUGUAGCUUUUUAGUAAAAAUGUCUUGCCUUUCUAUUGUGUGGUGCUGAUAUUUAGACAUAAUUUAGUUAUAAUUUUUUUGCAGUGAACAGCCUAGGUUAAGUAGACCUGGUACAUGUAUUCAAUCAAAUUGAACCGCGUUCUGGGGAAAUUGGCUUUAUGCAUGUGUGUGAAAUGUUGUCCCAGAUUAGCUUAUGUGGUCCACACAUGCUUAUCUGGGACAACACUUUCAGCCUAGACUGGAUUUUCUUUUUCAAAAUACUUUCUUUGAACGAAAAAUCUCAUAAAACCAGAAAGUGUCUUCCCUGGUUAGCCUGUGCGGACCGUACAAGUUAAUCAGCGACAACACUUUAGGAACAUGCAUUAAACCCCAUUUUCCCAGAGCAAGGGUCAAUUGUAUUUAUUUCCUUUCAAUAUUUACAUGCCCUUUAUUUUAGGAUCAUACAGAUUCUAAAUGCCUAUCCAUUGUAGGCUGAAUAUUCAGGUCUUAAUGCAUGUGUGUCAAGUGUUAAUCAGGGCAAAUCAGCGAUGACAUUUUACCUAAAUGGAAUUGUUCGAUUAAAAAGUCUGUGGAGGAAAGUGUUGUCCCUGAUAAGCCUGUGCUGCCGGUACAGGCUUAUCUGAGACAACAUUUUGAGCACAUGCAUUGGUUCCAAUUUUCCUAGUGCCAGACUCAAAUGUUAAAGAAAUGCACUAUUUAAAAAUAUAUUCAAUGAAGAGCAGCAAUAGUGGUUUGCAAUUUUUUGAAAAUCUCAUAAUUUUUCAAAUAAAAAAGAUUUAUUCAUUAUUUACAACAAGAUGCAAUCAUCUUUCCAAAACAACAACAUAAUUGGCAUUUCUUGUAAACUUAAAAAGGCUAUUCACACUAUAUGAUAAAUUAAAAUGGUAUUUAUUAUAAACAAUACCAUACUCAAGAAGCACAUACAGUUCUCACUAUUCUAUUCAUAGCAAUUCAUAUUGAUUUCAACAAAAACUAUCAUAAACAACAUUCCCAUUUGCAUCUUUUAAAAGGAACAAGUAUUUUAAAUGCUAUUUCAAAACACAACCUAUCAUGGAAACAAAAUGUUGACUUUUGAAGAGGCACUGUUGUAUAAAGUUCUUUCUUGAAAUGAACGUUUUUAGUAAUCAAGAUAGAAAAUUACAGUACCUCUUCGACUCCUUCAAAAUAUAUUGGUACAUACAAAAUAAAGACAAACUCAUACUGAUGUAACAACCGGAGACAUGCAGUCUGAUUUCUGGUUAUCUGCUGAAACACCUUUUAUAGAGUGUGAAAAUUACAUAAAAAUAUUAUUUUAUCUAAGACAUUUAUGGCUGAACAAAAGCUUUUUUUUAACAAACAAGAGCUGUGUUCGUGAAACACAAUGCUCCCUACCGUGCCGCUUUGCAGCCAUAUAUUUGACCUUGAAGGAUGACCUUGACCUUUCACCACUAAAAAUCAGCAGCUCCUAGAAAUACGCAUGCAUGCCAAAUAUGGAGUAGCUAUCUUCAAUAUUGCAAAAUUCGACCUUGCCCUUGAAGGAUGACAUUGACCUUUCACCACUCAAGAUGUGCAGCUCCGUGAGAUAUGCAUGCAUGCCAAAUAUCGAGUUGCUAUCUUCAGUAUUGCAAAUUUGACCUUGACCUUGAAGGAUGACCUUGACUUUUCAUCACUCAAAAUGUGCAGCUUCAUGAGAUACACACGCAUGCCCAAUAUCAAGUUGCUAUCUUCAAUAUUGCAAAAUUUUGAUCUUUGACCUUGACCUUGAAGGAUGACCUUGACUUUUACCUUUCACCACUCAAAAUGUGCAGCUCCAUGAGAUACGCAUGCAUGCCACAUAUCAGCUGCUAUCUUCAAUAUUGCAAAAUUUGACCUUUGACCUUGAAGGAUGACAUUGACCUUUCACCACUCAAAAUGUGCAGCUCCAUGAGAUACACAUGCAUGCCAACUAUCAAGUUGCUAUCUUCAAUAUUGCAAAAUUUGACCUUGAAGGAUGACCUUUACCUUCACCUUUCACCACUCAAAAUGUACAGUGCCAAAUAUAAAGUUGCCAUCUUCAAUAUUGAAAAAGUUAUGGCCAAUGUUAAAUUUUUCGGACGGACAGACAGACGCCAUAUAUUUGAAAUUUGACCUUGAAGGAUGACCUUGACCUUCACCUACCUCCUUCACCUACCUUGCCACCCUACGGGGGGGGCAUACAAACAUAUUCCACCAGAGAAAUAUCAACAAUUAUGUAAGUUAUAUCUAAGAAAAGGUUGUUGUUGUUUUUUACAAAAUCAUUACCUCAAGUGUACAAAAUCUUGUAUAAUCGUCCCUGAUUGGCCUGUGUGGAAUGCACAGGCUAAUCUGGGAUGGCACUUUACGCACAUGCAUUAAGCCCAGUUUUCUCAGAACUCGACUCUUUUUAUGAAACGGUGUUUGUUCAUGAUCUGAUCAUAAUCUACGAAAAAUCAUGAUAAUUAAGAUACAUAUAUGUAAUAUUCUAUUCACUAUUGUGAAAUCUUUCGCUUUUUGUGUAAGAUUAAGUAAUCUAAAUAAAGCCCGGUUACUUCAA